UACGUAGGGGGCAAGCGUUGUCCGGAAUCAUUGGGCGUAAAGAGCGUGUAGGCGGCCCGAUAAGUCCGCCGUGAAAGUCAAGGGCUCAACCCUGGAAAGCCGGUGGAUACUGCCGGGCUAGAGUCCGGAAGAGGCGAGUGGAAUUCCUGGUGUAGCGGUGGAAUGCGCAGAUAUCAGGAGGAACACCAAUAGCGAAGGCAGCUCGCUGGGACGGUACUGACGCUGAGGUGCGAAAGCGUGGGGAGCAAACAGG
Molecule: ribosomal RNA, 253 nt
Filed under: uncultured bacterium
Lineage: Bacteria
Description: partial 16S ribosomal RNA
Rfam family: Bacterial small subunit ribosomal RNA
Source: RNAcentral